CACGUAGACGGUUAUUUUGAUAGUUAUACUAGACAAAAUAGCUAGAGUAUAUAAGAGGAUUAGGGUACCUUUGAAGUAGAGGUGAUAUCCGACUAUAUCAAUAGGGACCACCGACGAGCGAAAGCGCUAAUCUGGCAUAUAACUGACGUUCAAGUGCGAAAGUAUGGGGAGCAAACG
This 177-nucleotide ribosomal RNA is filed under the name uncultured bacterium. Its description in RNAcentral is "partial 16S ribosomal RNA". It matches the Rfam family "Bacterial small subunit ribosomal RNA", at positions 568 to 774 of the family's 1533-position model. The record is from RNAcentral.